UACGGAGGGUGCAAGCGUUAUCCGGAUUCACUGGGUUUAAAGGGUGCGUAGGCGGGUAUAUAAGUCAGUGGUGAAAGCUCCGAGCUUAACUUGGAAACUGCCAUUGAUACUGUAUACCUUGAAUGUCGUAGAGGUUAGCGGAAUGUUGCAUGUAGCGGUGAAAUGCUUAGAUAUGUUACAGAACACCAAUUGCGAAGGCAGCUAACUAUGCGAUAAUUGACGCUGAGGAGCGAAAGCGUGGGGAGCAAACAGG
RNAcentral lists this ribosomal RNA (253 nucleotides) under uncultured bacterium. Its description in RNAcentral is "partial 16S ribosomal RNA". It matches the Rfam family "Bacterial small subunit ribosomal RNA", at positions 524 to 776 of the family's 1533-position model. The record is from RNAcentral.